RNAcentral lists this ribosomal RNA (485 nucleotides) under uncultured bacterium. RNAcentral's name for it is "bacterial SSU rRNA". It matches the Rfam family "Bacterial small subunit ribosomal RNA", at positions 39 to 512 of the family's 1533-position model. The record is from RNAcentral.
AGCUACAGGCUUAACACAUGCAAGUCGAGGGGCAGCAUAUUGGUAGCUUGCUACUAAUGAUGGCGACCGGCGCACGGGUGAGUAACGCGUAUCCAACCUUCCCUAUACUAGAGGAUAGCCCGGCGAAAGUCGGAUUAAUACUCUAUGUUCUUCGUAGAUGACAUCUGAAAUGAAGCAAAGAUUUAUCGGUAUAGGAUGGGGAUGCGUCUGAUUAGCUUGUUGGCGGGGUAACGGCCCACCAAGGCAACGAUCAGUAGGGGUUCUGAGAGGAAGGUCCCCCACAUUGGUACUGAGACACGGACCAAACUCCUACGGGAGGCAGCAGUGAGGAAUAUUGGUCAAUGGGCGAGAGCCUGAACCAGCCAAGUAGCGUGCAGGAUGACGGCCCUAUGGGUUGUAAACUGCUUUUGUACGGGAAUAAAGUGUGGGACGUGUCCCGUUUUGUAUGUACCGUAAGAAUAAGGACCGGCUAAUUCCGUGCCAGC